Long non-coding RNA from Bombyx mori (domestic silkworm), 706 nucleotides. RefSeq lists it as uncharacterized. The record is from RefSeq and is a predicted model, not a curated record. Lineage: Eukaryota; Metazoa; Arthropoda; Insecta; Lepidoptera; Bombycidae. The transcript has 2 exons.
ACAUGAACUAAAACCGGCCAAAUUAGUCUGCCAGUUUAAAUAGUGCAGCCUCAUAUUAUGUCGUGGACCGUGUCUUGUUUGUUCGCGUGUUCGUGGUUUUAGUUACUUACACAGUGGCUCGAUCUGGACGGUACCCACAACGAGAACGCCUUCACGCAACAACAAACACUAAAGUUAUAGUCACAUCCGCUCACAGAAACUACAUAUUAAGGCGCAGCGACAACGACCAGCCGACCCGCAAACAAUCCACACGUAACUCGAAAACGUUCAAAAGAUCGUUAUCAAAACGAUAAUCGGCUCGAUCGAAUCGAUUCCGGUAUAAUCGUGCCAAGGGAUGAAAUGAGGAACCCGUAAACAGUCACCAUGUCGGAUACUCAUCAAUAAUAAAUCGGUUCGGUACACGUUUCAUGAUGCUGUAACCGGCGGGAACUCGCGAGCGCCCUCCUCCGUCGAUGCAUGAACGAAUAUAAAUUUACAUUAUUGAUGCGUAAUGAGACGACGGGUUUUCGAGUAUCGAUAUUAUUUAAGAGAAUCGGUAUCGGUCGAAAGACCAAUCGAUCGGUUAUCGAUAUCGGUCGAAUGACCAAUUCGACUAUCACGGCUCUGUUGGAUGUGAGGAUAUAGAUCAUAUUUAAUAUUCGUUUCAACUCUAUUAAUAUUUUUUGUAAUAAUGAAGAGCUUUUAAUAAAUUAACGUUGGCUUUUAA